RNAcentral lists this ribosomal RNA (373 nucleotides) under uncultured organism. Its description in RNAcentral is "partial 16S ribosomal RNA". It matches the Rfam family "Bacterial small subunit ribosomal RNA", at positions 527 to 896 of the family's 1533-position model. The record is from RNAcentral.
GUAGGUGGCAAGCGUUAUCCGGAAUUAUUGGGCGUAAAGCGCGCGCAGGCGGUUUCUUAAGUCUGAUGUGAAAGCCCACGGCUCAACCGUGGAGGGUCAUUGGAAACUGGGGAACUUGAGUGCAGAAGAGAAAAGCGGAAUUCCACGUGUAGCGGUGAAAUGCGCAGAGAUGUGGAGGAACACCAGUGGCGAAGGCGGCUUUUUGGUUCUGUAACUGACGCUGAGGCGCGAAAGCGUGGGGAGCAAACAGGGAUUAGAUACCCUGGUAGUCCACGCCGUAAACGAUGAGUGCUAAGUGUUAGAGGGUUUCCGCCCCUUUAGUGCUGCAGCUAACGCAUUAAGCACUCCGCCUGGGAGUACGGUCGCAAGACUG